This 75-nucleotide transfer RNA is filed under the name Lactarius subindigo. RNAcentral's name for it is "tRNA-Cys". It matches the Rfam family "tRNA". Rfam says of the family: Transfer RNA (tRNA) molecules are approximately 80 nucleotides in length. Their secondary structure includes four short double-helical elements and three loops (D, anti-codon, and T loops). The record is from RNAcentral. Lineage: Eukaryota; Fungi; Basidiomycota; Agaricomycetes; Russulales; Russulaceae.
CAAACGGUAGCUUAAUCUGGAAGAGCACUUACAAUACACAAGUUAGAGGUUUCAGUUCAAAUCUGGACAGUUUGC